This 402-nucleotide ribosomal RNA is filed under the name uncultured Sphingomonas sp. Its description in RNAcentral is "bacterial SSU rRNA". It matches the Rfam family "Bacterial small subunit ribosomal RNA", at positions 355 to 774 of the family's 1533-position model. Lineage: Bacteria; Pseudomonadati; Pseudomonadota; Alphaproteobacteria; Sphingomonadales; Sphingomonadaceae. The record is from RNAcentral.
UGGGGAAUAUUGGACAAUGGGCGAAAGCCUGAUCCAGCAAUGCCGCGUGAGUGAUGAAGGCCUUAGGGUUGUAAAGCUCUUUUACCAGGGAUGAUAAUGACAGUACCUGGAGAAUAAGCUCCGGCUAACUCCGUGCCAGCAGCCGCGGUAAUACGGAGGGAGCUAGCGUUGUUCGGAAUUACUGGGCGUAAAGCGCGCGUAGGCGGUUUCUCAAGUCAGAGGUGAAAGCCCGGGGCUCAACUCCGGAAUUGCCUUUAAGACUGCAUCGCUAGAAUUGUGGAGAGGUAAGUGGAAUUCCGAGUGUAGAGGUGAAAUUCGUAGAUAUUCGGAAGAACACCAGUGGCGAAGGCGACUUACUGGACACAUAUUGACGCUGAGGUGCGAAAGCGUGGGGAGCAAACA